This 479-nucleotide ribosomal RNA is filed under the name uncultured Planctomycetota bacterium. RNAcentral describes it as "bacterial SSU rRNA". It matches the Rfam family "Bacterial small subunit ribosomal RNA", at positions 364 to 833 of the family's 1533-position model. The record is from RNAcentral. Lineage: Bacteria; Pseudomonadati; Planctomycetota.
UUUCGCAAUGCCCGAAAGGGUGACGAAGCGACGCCGCGUGUGGGAAGAAGGCCUUCGGGUUGUAAACCACUGUCGGGAGUUAGGAAAUGUAAGGGUGCUAAUAGUAUCCUUGCUUGACUAAGGCUCCGGAGGAAGCCACGGCUAACUCCGUGCCAGCAGCCGCGGUAAUACAGAGGCGGCAAGCGUUGUUCGGAAUUAUUGGGCGUAAAGAGCACGUAGGCGGCCUUGUAAGUCAGUUGUGAAAGCCUUCUGCUUAACGGAAGAACAGCAGCUGAUACUGCAAGGCUAGAGUGCGGAAGGGGAGAGUGGAACUUCUGGUGGAGCGGUGAAAUGCGUAGAUAUCAGAAGGAACACCGGCGGCGAAGGCGACUCUCUGGUCCGUAACUGACGCUGAGUGUGCGAAAGCUAGGGGAGCAAACGGGAUUAGAUACCCCGGUAGUCCUAGCCGUAAACGAUGGGCACUAAGUAGAGGGGUUUUA